UAGGGAAUCUUCCACAAUGGGACGAAAGUACUGAUGGAGCAACGCCGCGUGAGUGAAGAAGGGUUUCGGCUCGUAAAACUCUGUUGUUAAAGAAGAACAUAUCUGAGAGUAACUGUUCAGGUAUUGACGGUAUUUAACCAGAAAGCCACGGCUAACUACGUGCCAA
RNAcentral lists this ribosomal RNA (166 nucleotides) under uncultured bacterium. RNAcentral describes it as "partial 16S ribosomal RNA". It matches the Rfam family "Bacterial small subunit ribosomal RNA", at positions 355 to 511 of the family's 1533-position model. The record is from RNAcentral.